Molecule: long non-coding RNA, 1119 nt
Filed under: Equus asinus (donkey)
Lineage: Eukaryota; Metazoa; Chordata; Mammalia; Perissodactyla; Equidae
Description: lncRNA (ENSEASG00005027196.1)
Source: RNAcentral
CAGCGCCACCAGUAGCCACGCUCUUGGCCACAACCGCAGCGUUGGAACUGCGCGAGGGGGGAUGAGGGGUCCAACCUAGGAAGCAGCGCCAACCAGGCUCCCCGGGGUGGGAGGCCCCGAGCCGAGGGCGCCACCUGUGGGAUCACGCCCCUCUAGCCGUGUGCUCAGGGCAUGACACGAGGGUAGGCAGCCUUGGCCGGGUUGCCACUAGGACUCAGACCCGGUCUCGCUGACAUCAGAGAUUGCCGGACCCUGGUACCCUGGGUGGGACUUCCGCAUCCUGGGUUUUCCCAUCGCUAGGAAUGUUUUACUGGUAACAAUAGUUGAGUUGAGAAGAUCCAUGCUCAUCCUGCGCGUUUCAGCACCAUUUGGACUGCUAGGUGACUUACCAAGCAUUGCAUGGGAGAGUCGUCUAUCAUUUUAAGUAAACGCCUUGGGAAAAGAAGUACCAUUCAUUAUCUAUAAUUUAUAUACCAUAUCUUAAUUAAAAUGCAAAGAAGAUAUGCCUUAAGAGUGGAGACCAGAGCAUUAGGGGCUGCACAAAUACUUCUUGGCUUUUUUCACUGUGCACUGGGGAUUCUCUGUGAAUGUUUGUUUAUCAGAGAGGCGGGCUUACAACGUGUUGGUUACAUCCCUACAUUUGUUAUAAUAAUUUACGCAUUUUGGUCAGCACCAUAUUGUGUUUCUGGCAUUGUUAUGAAUAUCUUAAGUGCCUGCUUUGCUGCACUUGGUGCAGUUGCCUUAAUCAUUGCGUGUGCAAGUUUUCAGUCAGAAGAAGAUUACACUUGGACACAGUUGGCUGGUACUAUGCUUUUACACUAUUUACUCUUCAUUGCUGUCUCAGAACUGAUCAUUGCAAGUAUAACUAUCCACUGGAUUGUGCAAGCAUUGCAGUAUCAAGAAUACGGCGACGAGAGUUCCUCACUAUCAGAAUUCUCCAUCUCUUCAUAAUUUGCAAAGAACCGGUGUGACUCUAGUCAAGAGCAAAAGAUGAAUCGUGAAUUAGUGAAGAACUCCGUAAUUUUUUUCAAGAGGCCUGAUGGAGAAUGCAUUUUAAUGAAGUCCUUUCUAGUACUCCUUUUUCCUACUUCUUCAAUAAAGGAUGCAAUUUGAUCACAA